Molecule: long non-coding RNA, 964 nt
Filed under: Musa acuminata (dwarf banana)
Lineage: Eukaryota; Viridiplantae; Streptophyta; Magnoliopsida; Zingiberales; Musaceae
Description: long non-coding RNA (MACU_LNC002507)
Source: RNAcentral
UUAGCAGCAAAUCAUGCUCUCCAAAAUGCACCAUUUGUUCCACGAGUUAUAGAAGGAUUUCAUGGCAAGUGACCAUGUUUGAGAAUUAUAUGAUCCUGGAUGAAGGCUGCAGAGAGAUGUUUAUCUCGUAAUGGCACCAUAUGAUACUGCUCGUUUUGUCUGUAAACCUUUCAUUUAUUUGUAAUUCUGCUUUUGUCAGCUGGAGGGCAAUCAGAGGAGGAAAUAUAGUCCGAACGCCAGGAUUAGGAUUCCCAAAUGGUUAUCACAUCCAGCUCUUUCCCAAAGCUUGAUGAUCUGCAGGGAGAUGGCUUAGACACAGAUCAGUUGUAAGAUAUGUAUAAUAGAGAGUCUAAAUUUCCAUAGAACAAUUAUAUUGUGGUCUAUAGACAUGGCUGCUGGUGGCUCAAGAACUGUUGUUUGGGACCUUCUCCUCUUCUUCCUCAUUGCUACAGUCCUGAGAGAAGAUUUGGUGGUUCCAUCAAAGGUACCUUCUGUUCUCUGCAAGUGUGUAGUGUGUGCAAACUGCUGUUCUGUGCGGUCCACUUGAGAAAUAAAAUCUUGAAACUUUGUGUGUUUCGUAGCUGAAUUUGCUAAAAUGGAGGAUAUCUUUCUAACAUUGUUAGGUAAAUAUAUUUAUGCAAAGAAUUUAAUCCAGGAGGAAAUUAUUACUCACCCGGAAACAGCCAUAACCUCUCCUGUGAUGGAUUAGAAGUCAAAACCUGCCUUUCUUGUGUGCAGAGUUUUUUACUGUGUCAGGAAGCAUUUUCCAUAUGCCCAAUAUGCUGACCAGUACUUGCAUUGAACAAGUGUCCUUAACCCUAGUAAAUGAGCUUCUUCUACGCAGUGACAGAGAUCCAACUGUGCUUGAUGCCUUCACUAUCACAGUGGGUUUACAAGAAUUGAUGUGCAUACAAGGUGAAUUAAAAGAAUUAAAAGGAAUAAAAAGCUAAUUUAACAGUGUGGA